UAGGGAAUCUUCCGCAAUGGACGCAAGUCUGACGGAGCAACGCCGCGUGAGUGAAGAAGGAUUUCGGUUCGUAAAACUCUGUUGUUAGAGAAGAACAGCGCAUAGAGUAACUGUUAUGCGUGUGACGGUAUCUAACCAGAAAGCCACGGCUAACUACGUGCCAGCAGCCGCGGUAAUACGUAGGUGGCAAGCGUUGUCCGGAUUUAUUGGGCGUAAAGCGAGCGCAGGCGGUCAAUUAAGUCUGAUGUGAAAGCCCCCGGCUCAACCGGGGAGGGUCAUUGGAAACUGGUUGACUUGAGUGCAGAAGAGGAGAGUGGAAUUCCAUGUGUAGCGGUGAAAUGCGUAGAUAUAUGGAGGAACACCAGUGGCGAAGGCGACUCUCUGGUCUGUAACUGACGCUGUGGCUCGAAAGCGUGGGUAGCAAACAGG
This 429-nucleotide ribosomal RNA is filed under the name Bacteroidota bacterium. Its description in RNAcentral is "Bacteroidetes bacterium partial 16S ribosomal RNA". It matches the Rfam family "Bacterial small subunit ribosomal RNA", at positions 355 to 776 of the family's 1533-position model. The record is from RNAcentral. Lineage: Bacteria; Pseudomonadati; Bacteroidota.